AGGGGGGUUUGAUCAUGGGCUCAGAAUCAACGCUGGCGGCGUGCCUAACACAUGCAAGUCGAGCGAGAAAGCGGACUUCGGUCCGUGAGUACAGCGGCGGACGGGUGAGUAACACGUGGGUAAUCUGCCCUCGGGUGAGGAAUAACCCAGGGAAACCUGGGCUAAUACCGCAUAACAUCCUCGAUUCUCAGAAUUGAAGAUCAAAGCUGGGGACCCUUCGGGGCCUGGCGCCUGGGGAGGAGCCCGCGGCCAAUUAGCUUGAUGGUGAGGUAAUGGCUCACCAUGGCUACGAUUGGUAACCGGCCUGAGAGGGCGGACGGUCACACUGGGACUGAGACACGGCCCAGACUCCUACGGGAGGCAGCAGUGGGGAAUUUUUGUCAAUGGGGGAAACCCUGAACAAGCAACGCCGCGUGGAGGACGAAGACCUUCGGGUUGUAAACUUCUGUCGGAGGGGACGAAUGCAGUAGAGGUCAAUACCCUCUAUUGUUGACGGUACCCUACGAGGAAGCCCCGGCUAACUCCGUGCCAGCAGCCGCGGUAAUACGGGGGGGCAAGCGUUGUUCGGAAUUACUGGGCGUUAAAGGGCGCGCAGGCGGGCGAGCAAGUCUCUCGUGAAGUCCCAUGGCUCAACUGUGGAACUGCGGGAGAUACUGUUUGUCUUGAGUUCCGGGAGAAGAGANCGGAAUUCCCAGUG
This 697-nucleotide ribosomal RNA is filed under the name uncultured Acidobacterium sp. RNAcentral describes it as "bacterial SSU rRNA". It matches the Rfam family "Bacterial small subunit ribosomal RNA", at positions 1 to 675 of the family's 1533-position model. Lineage: Bacteria; Pseudomonadati; Acidobacteriota; Terriglobia; Terriglobales; Acidobacteriaceae. The record is from RNAcentral.